CCUACGGGAGGCAGCAGUAGGGAAUCUUCCACAAUGGACGCAAGUCUGAUGGAGCAACGCCGCGUGAGUGAAGAAGGGUUUCGGCUCGUAAAGCUCUGUUGGUAGUGAAGAAAGAUAGAGGUAGUAACUGGCCUUUAUUUGACGGUAAUUACUUAGAAAGUCCAGGCUAACUACGUGCCAGCAGCCGCGGUAAUACGUAGGUGGCAAGCUUUGUCCGGAUUUAUUGGGCGUAAAGUGAGUGCAGGCGGUUCAAUAAGUCUGAUGUGAAAGCCGUCGGCUCAACCGGGGAAUUGCAUCAGAAACUGUUGGACUUGAGUGCAGAAGAGGUGAGUGGAAUUCCAGGUGUAGCGGUGGAAUGCGUAGAUAUAUGGAAGAACACCAGUGGCGAAGGCGGCUCUCUGGUCUGCAACUGACGCUGAGGCUCGAAAGCAUGGGUAUCGAACAGGAUUAGAUACCCCAGUAGUC
This 465-nucleotide ribosomal RNA is filed under the name uncultured bacterium. Its description in RNAcentral is "partial 16S ribosomal RNA". It matches the Rfam family "Bacterial small subunit ribosomal RNA", at positions 338 to 795 of the family's 1533-position model. The record is from RNAcentral.